Non-coding RNA from Vicia faba (fava bean), 342 nucleotides. Lineage: Eukaryota; Viridiplantae; Streptophyta; Magnoliopsida; Fabales; Fabaceae. The record is from the annotation of a GenBank genome assembly.
AUGUAUGGAAAGUCUCUGCAGCCAGAGGGGGCAGGUGUUCAGUUUCCUUGUGGCAGACCUGGGGGUUUGAAGAAUCAAAGUUAUGGUGGAUCGUCUGUUUCCAACGGGGUACAAGAUGAAAUUCGAGAUCCGUCUGUUCAUCCUUGGGGAGGUUUGACGACGACGCGUGAGGGUUCACUUACUCUUAUGGACUGCUACUUGUAUUCGAAGUCUUUGAAAGGAUUGCAAAUCGUAUUUGACGGCGCGCGUGCUAGAGAGCGGGAAAGAGAACUGCUUUAUCCCGAUGCCUGUGGUGGUGGAGGCCGUGGUUGGAUAAGCCAAGGGAUAGUGAGUUAUGGGUAG